CCGAGUUUACAACUCCCAAACCCCUGUGAACAUACCACUUAGUUGCCUCGGCGGAUCAGCCCGCGCCCGUAAAACGGGACGGCCCGCCAGAGGACCCCUAAACUCUGUUUCUUAGUGGAACUUCUGAGUAAAACAACAUAAUAAAUCA
This 148-nucleotide unclassified non-coding RNA is filed under the name soil metagenome. Its description in RNAcentral is "partial internal transcribed spacer 1". The record is from RNAcentral.